RNAcentral lists this ribosomal RNA (1512 nucleotides) under Escherichia coli. Its description in RNAcentral is "partial 23S ribosomal RNA". It matches the Rfam family "Bacterial large subunit ribosomal RNA", at positions 1025 to 2521 of the family's 2925-position model. Lineage: Bacteria; Pseudomonadati; Pseudomonadota; Gammaproteobacteria; Enterobacterales; Enterobacteriaceae. The record is from RNAcentral.
ACCCAGACCGCCAGCUAAGGUCCCAAAGUCAUGGUUAAGUGGGAAACGAUGUGGGAAGGCCCAGACAGCCAGGAUGUUGGCUUAGAAGCAGCCAUCAUUUAAAGAAAGCGUAAUAGCUCACUGGUCGAGUCGGCCUGCGCGGAAGAUGUAACGGGGCUAAACCAUGCACCGAAGCUGCGGCAGCGACGCUUAUGCGUUGUUGGGUAGGGGAGCGUUCUGUAAGCCUGUGAAGGUGUGCUGUGAGGCAUGCUGGAGGUAUCAGAAGUGCGAAUGCUGACAUAAGUAACGAUAAAGCGGGUGAAAAGCCCGCUCGCCGGAAGACCAAGGGUUCCUGUCCAACGUUAAUCGGGGCAGGGUGAGUCGACCCCUAAGGCGAGGCCGAAAGGCGUAGUCGAUGGGAAACAGGUUAAUAUUCCUGUACUUGGUGUUACUGCGAAGGGGGGACGGAGAAGGCUAUGUUGGCCGGGCGACGGUUGUCCCGGUUUAAGCGUGUAGGCUGGUUUUCCAGGCAAAUCCGGAAAAUCAAGGCUGAGGCGUGAUGACGAGGCACUACGGUGCUGAAGCAACAAAUGCCCUGCUUCCAGGAAAAGCCUCUAAGCAUCAGGUAACAUCAAAUCGUACCCCAAACCGACACAGGUGGUCAGGUAGAGAAUACCAAGGCGCUUGAGAGAACUCGGGUGAAGGAACUAGGCAAAAUGGUGCCGUAACUUCGGGAGAAGGCACGCUGAUAUGUAGGUGAAGUCCCUCGCGGAUGGAGCUGAAAUCAGUCGAAGAUACCAGCUGGCUGCAACUGUUUAUUAAAAACACAGCACUGUGCAAACACGAAAGUGGACGUAUACGGUGUGACGCCUGCCCGGUGCCGGAAGGUUAAUUGAUGGGGUCAGCGCAAGCGAAGCUCUUGAUCGAAGCCCCGGUAAACGGCGGCCGUAACUAUAACGGUCCUAAGGUAGCGAAAUUCCUUGUCGGGUAAGUUCCGACCUGCACGAAUGGCGUAAUGAUGGCCAGGCUGUCUCCACCCGAGACUCAGUGAAAUUGAACUCGCUGUGAAGAUGCAGUGUACCCGCGGCAAGACGGAAAGACCCCGUGAACCUUUACUAUAGCUUGACACUGAACAUUGAGCCUUGAUGUGUAGGAUAGGUGGGAGGCUUAGAAGUGUGGACGCCAGUCUGCAUGGAGCCGACCUUGAAAUACCACCCUUUAAUGUUUGAUGUUCUAACGUUGACCCGUAAUCCGGGUUGCGGACAGUGUCUGGUGGGUAGUUUGACUGGGGCGGUCUCCUCCUAAAGAGUAACGGAGGAGCACGAAGGUUGGCUAAUCCUGGUCGGACAUCAGGAGGUUAGUGCAAUGGCAUAAGCCAGCUUGACUGCGAGCGUGACGGCGCGAGCAGGUGCGAAAGCAGGUCAUAGUGAUCCGGUGGUUCUGAAUGGAAGGGCCAUCGCUCAACGGAUAAAAGGUACUCCGGGGAUAACAGGCUGAUACCGCCCAAGAGUUCAUAUCGACGGCGGUGUUUGG